ACGUAACCUUUUUUUCGAAACACAUACAAACAUGAAACAUGUAACUAUUUUAAGAAUAUAUAAGCUAAAAAACUCUACAGAAAUGAUGACACUCAUUAUUCUCAAUCCUCGAAUACAGCCGUAUAACUAGGAAAUCGUCAUAAAUACUAUUAGUGUCGGAUCGAAAUAAAUAAUUAGAAUAUAUGUAUAUAUAUUAGCCUUGAAUUUUAAAAUUUCAGGUGUUAUUUAUAUUUUAUUAACUAUAAUAUACUCCCC
This 255-nucleotide long non-coding RNA is filed under the name Brassica napus (rape). RNAcentral's name for it is "long non-coding RNA (BNAP_LNC001089)". The record is from RNAcentral. Lineage: Eukaryota; Viridiplantae; Streptophyta; Magnoliopsida; Brassicales; Brassicaceae.